UCUUCCCAGCCUGCUAAAAGCUGAAAAUCACUAACAGCUGGCAAUCACUAAGACACUGACCUGCAGAGGUCAUAGCAGAGAGGCAGGUGGCAGCAGAAGAAAACAACCCAUAAGACCAUGCCAUGGUGCACUGGACACAUCUCUAUAUUAUAUUGCAAAAGAGAUGAUGCAAAUCCUCUGAACUCAGAUGCUGACAUGAAUAACCCUUGUGGAAGAUUAAACCACCUAAUACAGAUCCUAAUGAAACUCACCUAGGGCCUGAAUCAACUCCCACUGACUUCAGUGGAAUGACUGACAAGUAAGUUAAUGGGAGAACAAUCAGUCUCAAGAGCUUGAAGCCAUACAAUGGCUAAAAGGAACUCCAGUCUGUCCUCUUCUGUCUUUUUAUUUCCUUUUUUUUUUUUUUUAAAGAAAAUAUAUUUCUAUCUGCCAUGAGAAUGAGCCAGCCAAGACUUUGUAAGAUGACUUAAGGUGCCAUGUACUCUAAAAUAACCCCAAAUAUGCUAGCUGGAACACAACUCCUUCUCUCUGAUCAACACACACAUCAAGCAAAGAAGUGUAACUAACGUAAGAACAAAAUUAAAAAUUCUCAAACCAAACCAAAAUGAGGGCAUAAAACUUUUGCUGAGAUUUCCCCUUAACUCUGUGCUGUUGUGCACAUUCCUUUUAAAGUGUCAUGUCAUAGGAAUGUAUUUUAUAGGGGUGGGGAGGGGGGAAACAGAUUACUGCCCAAAAGAGUUUAUAUCAAUCCUGCGAGGCGCUGAGCAUCCUCCCUCCCCACUGAAAUCAAUGAGAGUGGAGGAUAAUCAGCAACUUGUAAGAAGUACUCAACACAUCUAAAGAAUUGGGCUACUACUCAGCUGGAGGGAGUGUGUGUGAUCCUCUUGUAAAUAGAGCUGAUCUUUGGGCCCCACAAAGGAGUAUCUCAACUUUAAAAAGUGUAUUUGUAUCCCUUUUCCUUGCUCAAGCCUUAAAUACAAACUCAUGUGAACUGAUCUCUAGAUUGAAAGGAAGAAGCAGCUGGGCACCAUUUCUACAGUAGAUGGAGGAACCUAAACAUCCCUUCCACACACACAAACUUUUAAUGUAAAGUAAUUUGGUUAUACUUCAUCUUGCUAACCCUACCCAGAAUCCUUAAUCUGAUCCUGUGUACAGUGACAGGAGGACAGGGGACAGGAGUUGGUUGUGUUUGGGAGCAAGAUGUGGCAAAACUUUGUUUUGUAGGCCCACUUAAAAAUGCCAAGGCUGUUUCUUCUUGCUAACACUUUCAUUCUUCUCUGCGUUGGCUCACAUAGACAGAUGCUGCACUGCUAUUGCUACAGUGCCUUUUGGCAGGGGAACUGCUAUCCUGCAUAUUUGACCAGUGCUGCAAGCAGACCCUUUACUGCCUGCUACAGCAGCAUGUGAGGAAGAGCAGGGAUCAUGCUGUUACUGCAAUAAGUGGGUGUUCGGCAGAGUCACCUCUCCCCACCAGAGCCUGCCUACCUAGCAUCCAACCAGAGGUUUAAGAGUCCAGUGUUGAGUGGAUAUCUGGAGCCAUGCUUCACCAUGAUUGCUCCCCUACCCCACCAAUACGACUUUGAGGAAAUCUGCUCCACACCCAAUCCCUCCCACCAACCAGGGGCACUUCUACCCAUUCUUCCUGCUGGGGGGACUGCCAGCAGUUAAGGUAGCUCAACAAAUAAAUGGGCCCAUUUCCCGACCCAGCCUCUCAACAACCACCACAGAGGACCCGUUCCCCAUUUAGGCAGAGGGAGAGAGUAGGAAAUUGAUGUAUUGUUAUGGUUUUUUGGUGUUUUUUUUUUUUUUUUUUUUGGGGGGGGGGGGGUGGAAGAUAUUGCUGACCAAAAUUCUCAUUUUUUUUGAGGUAACUCCUUGUUAAAAAUGUGACCGGGUAUCACUGCAUUGAGUUCCAUAUUGAACAGAACACAGCAUAGAAUGACAAUAGAUAAAGCAUAGGAGGCAUGUAUAGGAGGCAGUGUGAAGGUCUGUGUUAUUUACAUCUUGUUUCUCUUUGAUUUCCAAGCAAAAUUACAUAAAAAUAUAUUUAAAAAACUUAAUAGAGAAUAUCAAACAGCAGUCACCAAGCAAAAAGUAGCCCAGUUGAAAAUACAUUCAAUG
Long non-coding RNA from Chelonia mydas (Green sea turtle), 2121 nucleotides. RefSeq lists it as uncharacterized. The transcript is spliced from 3 exons. Lineage: Eukaryota; Metazoa; Chordata; Testudines; Cheloniidae. The record is from RefSeq and is a predicted model, not a curated record.